This 424-nucleotide ribosomal RNA is filed under the name uncultured bacterium. RNAcentral's name for it is "bacterial SSU rRNA". It matches the Rfam family "Bacterial small subunit ribosomal RNA", at positions 356 to 773 of the family's 1533-position model. The record is from RNAcentral.
AGGGAAUCUUCCGCAAUGGGCGAAAGCCUGACGGAGCAACGCCGCGUGAGUGAUGAAGGUUUUCGGAUCGUAAAGCUCCGUUGCCAGGGAAGAACGUCGGGUAGAGUAACUGCUAUCCGAGUGACGGUACCUGAGAAGAAAGCCCCGGCUAACUACGUGCCAGCAGCCGCGGUAAUACGUAGGGGGCAAGCGUUGUCCGGAAUUAUUGGGCGUAAAGCGCGCGCAGGCGGCCAUUUAAGUCUGGUGUUUAAUCCCGGGGCUCAACCCCGGGUCGCAUCGGAAACUGGGUGGCUGGAGUGCAGAAGAGGAAAGUGGAAUUCCACGUGUAGCGGUGAAAUGCGUAGAGAUGUGGAGGAACACCAGUGGCGAAGGCGACUUUCUGGACUGUAACUGACGCUGAGGCAUGAAAGCGUGGGGAGCAAAC